RNAcentral lists this ribosomal RNA (274 nucleotides) under uncultured bacterium. RNAcentral describes it as "partial 16S ribosomal RNA". It matches the Rfam family "Bacterial small subunit ribosomal RNA", at positions 523 to 796 of the family's 1533-position model. The record is from RNAcentral.
AUACGGAGGGUGCAAGCGUUAAUCGGAAUUACUGGGCGUAAAGCGAGUGUAGGCGGCUACCUAAGUCGGAUGUGAAAGCCCUGGGCUCAACCUGGGAAUUGCAUUCGAAACUGAGUAGCUAGAGUCUGAUAGAGGGAAGUGGAAUUCCGGGUGUAGCGGUGAAAUGCGUAGAUAUCCGGAGGAACACCAGUGGCGAAGGCGGCUUCCUGGAUCAAGACUGACGCUGAGGCUCGAAAGCGUGGGGAGCAAACAGGAUUAGAAACCCCAGUAGUCC